GGUUGGCGUGAAUUUGUGACUCUCACUAGUCUCUUUGAUCAAGAUUCUGGAUUUCUCGUUCAGGAUACAGUCGUGUUUUCUGCAGAAGUCCUUAUCUUGAAGGAGUCGUCCAUCGUUCAAGAAUCGGUAGUUGAGGAUAUUGAGCUAGCAAAUGCUGGUGCUCAUCUGGACGAAGCUGGGAAAAGAAGUUCAUUUACUUGGAAGGUGGAGAAUUUCUUGUCCUUCAAAGAGAUAAUGGAAACACGGAAAAUAUUUAGCAAAUAUUUCCAAGCAGGUGGAUGUGAGCUUCGUAUUGGU
This 297-nucleotide unclassified non-coding RNA is filed under the name Hevea brasiliensis (rubber tree). Lineage: Eukaryota; Viridiplantae; Streptophyta; Magnoliopsida; Malpighiales; Euphorbiaceae. The record is from RNAcentral.